Long non-coding RNA from Lemur catta (Ring-tailed lemur), 657 nucleotides. RefSeq lists it as uncharacterized. The transcript is spliced from 5 exons. The record is from RefSeq and is a predicted model, not a curated record. NCBI's taxonomy places the organism in Eukaryota, Metazoa, Chordata, Mammalia, Primates, Lemuridae.
GAGUGGGGGAUGCGAAACGAACUCAGUCCCCUGCACGGUUGGUGCCUUCGGGGGCUCCGCUGCCCUGCGCUCCCACCCGCAAGAGGAGCAGCUGGAGAGGGGCUGGUGCCUCUGAACCGCCUGCAACCCAGCACCAGCCAGUCUGAGGUGGUGGAGAAGGAGAAUCUGAGACCGGGACGGAAGGGGAACGUGGCUUUAAGGUCUGCAGGACACACCAAAGAACUCCCCCAAGUCAUGCAAGGGAGAAAAUGAACUUCUCUACUGGCCUCUAUCAGGGAAGCUAAUUUUUUCCCCUUCUUUUUCGAAACUUUCCCAAACCCCAUGACUCUGAUUUCCAGGUAACAGCAUCCCAAUUUUCUCUUAAGAAACCACACACUCCACUUUUAGUUCAUGUGGUUUGGAUAUUGCUGACUUUACACCUGUGCUCUAUGACUCAAGACUCUUCAAUCAGCAUAUUCUAUCCAGGGGUGUGUUGGAGCCAGCUCAUACCAGCUCAUGCAAACCAACGGACCAAGGAAUGCCUGGAGGCACCAGAACCUGGAAGAGACAAGAAACAGAAUCUCCUCUAGAGCUUCUGGAGGUAUCAUGGCCUUGCUGACACCUUGAUUUUGGACCAGUGGCCUCCAGAAAUGUGAGAGAAUAAAUUUCUGUUGUUUU